UGUCUGAAUAUGGGGGGACCAUCCUCCAAGGCUAAAUACUCCUGACUGACCGAUAGUGAACCAGUACCGUGAGGGAAAGGCGAAAAGAACCCCUGUGAGGGGAGUGAAAUAGAUCCUGAAACCGCAUGCAUACAAGCAGUGGGAGCACCUUCGUGGUGUGACUGCGUACCUUUUGUAUAAUGGGUCAGCGACUUAUAUUCAGUAGCAAGGUUAACCGUAUAGGGGAGCCGUAGAGAAAUCGAGUCUUAAUAGGGCGUUUAGUUGCUGGGUAUAGACCCGAAACCAGGCGAUCUAUCCAUGAGCAGGUUGAAGGUUGGGUAACACUAACUGGAGGACCGAACCCACUGUCGUUGAAAAGCCAGGGGAUGACUUGUGGAUAGGGGUGAAAGGCUAAUCAAGCCUGGUGAUAGCUGGUUCUCCCCGAAAGCUAUUUAGGUAGCGCCUCGGACGAAUACCAUAGGGGGUAGAGCACUGUUUCGGCUAGGGGGUCAUCCCGACUUACCAAACCGAUGCAAACUCCGAAUACCUAUGAGUACUAUCCGGGAGACAGACUGCGGGUGCUAACGUCCGUAGUCAAGAGGAAAACAAUCCAGACCGCCAGCUAAGGCCCCAAAAUCAUAGUUAAGUGGGAAACGAUGUGGGAAGGCAUAGACAGCUAGGAGGUUGGCUUAGAAGCAGCCACCCUUUAAAGAAAGCGUAAUAGCUCACUAGUCGAGUCGGCCUGCGCGGAAGAUGUAACGGGGCUAAAACUAUGUGCCGAAGCUGCGGAUGUAUACUUUGUAUACGUGGUAGGGGAGCGUUCUGUAAGCCGAUGAAGGUGUGUUGAGAAGCAUGCUGGAGGUAUCAGAAGUGCGAAUGCUGACGUGAGUAACGACAAAACGGGUGAAAAACCCGUUCGCCGAAAGACCAAGGGUUCCAGUCCAACGUUAAUCGGGGCUGGGUGAGUCGACCCCUAAGGCGAGGCCGAAAGGCGUAGUCGAUGGGAAAAUGGUUAAUAUUCCAUUACUUCUGUGUAAUGCGAUGAGAGGACGGAGAAGGCUAAAUCAGCCUGGCGUUGGUUGUCCAGGUGAAAGGAUGUAGGCAUGUAUCUUAGGCAAAUCCGGGGUACUCUAUGCUGAGAUCUGAUAGCAAGCUGUACUUGUACAGCGAAGUGGUUGAUGCCAUGCUUCCAGGAAAAGUCUCUAAGCUUCAGUUACACAGGAAUCGUACCCGAAACCGACACAGGUGGUCAGGUCGAGUAGACCAAGGCGCUUGAGAGAACUCUGCUGAAGGAACUAGGCAAAAUGGUACCGUAACUUCGGGAGAAGGUACGCUGUUGUUGGUGAUGGAACUCGCUUCCUGAGCUGACGACAGCCGCAGAAACCAGGCCGCUGCAACUGUUUAUUAAAAACAUAGCACUCUGCAAACACGAAAGUGGACGUAUAGGGUGUGAUGCCUGCCCGGUGCUGGAAGGUUAAUUGAUGGGGUUAGCGUAAGCGAAGCUCUUGAUCGAAGCCCCAGUAAACGGCGGCCGUAACUAUAACGGUCCUAAGGUAGCGAAAUUCCUUGUCGGGUAAGUUCCGACCUGCACGAAUGGCAUAAUGAUGGCGGCGCUGUCUCCAGCAGAGGCUCAGUGAAAUCGAAAUCGCUGUGAAGAUGCAGUGUACCCGCGGCUAGACGGAAAGACCCCGUGAACCUUUACUGCAGCUUGACACUGAACUUUGACCUUACUUGUGUAGGAUAGGUGGGAGGCUUUGAAGCUGGAACGCUAGUUCCAGUGGAGCCGUCCUUGAAAUACCACCCUGGUAAUGUUGAGGUUCUAACUCUGUCCCGUGAUCCGGGACGAGGACCGUGUCUGGUGGGUAGUUUGACUGGGGCGGUCUCCUCCUAAAGAGUAACGGAGGAGUACGAAGGUGCGCUCAGCGUGGUCGGAAAUCACGCGUAGAGUAUAAAGGCAAAAGCGCGCUUAACUGCGAGACCCACAAGUCGAGCAGGUACGAAAGUAGGUCUUAGUGAUCCGGUGGUUCUGUAUGGAAGGGCCAUCGCUCAACGGAUAAAAGGUACUCUGGGGAUAACAGGCUGAUACCGCCCAAGAGUUCAUAUCGACGGCGGUGUUUGGCACCUCGAUGUCGGCUCAUCUCAUCCUGGGGCUGAAGCAGGUCCCAAGGGUAUGGCUGUUCGCCAUUUAAAGAGGUACGCGAGCUGGGUUUAGAACGUCGUGAGACAGUUCGGUCCCUAUCUACCGUGGGCGCUGGAAAUUUGAGAGGAUCUGCUCCUAGUACGAGAGGACCAGAGUGGACGAACCUCUGGUGUACCGGUUGUGACGCCAGUCGCAUCGCCGGGUAGCUAUGUUCGGAAGGGAUAACCGCUGAAAGCAUCUAAGCGGGAAGCCUACCUCAAGAUAAGAUUUCCCUAGGACUUUAUGUCCUCUAAAGAGCCGUUCGAGACUAGGACGUUGAUAGGUUGGAUGUGGAAGCAUAGUGAUAUGUGAAGCUGACCAAUACUAAUUGCUCGUGAGGCUUGACUAU
This 2507-nucleotide ribosomal RNA is filed under the name Acinetobacter baumannii. Its description in RNAcentral is "partial 23S ribosomal RNA". It matches the Rfam family "Bacterial large subunit ribosomal RNA", at positions 435 to 2925 of the family's 2925-position model. Lineage: Bacteria; Pseudomonadati; Pseudomonadota; Gammaproteobacteria; Moraxellales; Moraxellaceae. The record is from RNAcentral.